AAGGGAUAUAUCUAUUAAUUUUAAUACAUAGAAGACUAAGAAAUUACGAAUAUACUAGGUUUAAACCUUCGGUAAACCGCGGGAUGACUUUAUAAUUUCAUUAAAAUGUUUAUAUUUUAAGUUAUAUUUUUUUUUAUUUUUUUUAGUGUUUAAGAUUCUGUAAUUGUAUUUUGAUUGUUAAUUUUAUGACUCAAAUGCAGUAUACCAC
Molecule: long non-coding RNA, 208 nt
Filed under: Capsella rubella
Lineage: Eukaryota; Viridiplantae; Streptophyta; Magnoliopsida; Brassicales; Brassicaceae
Description: long non-coding RNA (CRUB_LNC000700)
Source: RNAcentral